GUGGGCAAUCAGCAUUAAAUAAUGUUUUAUAAAUCCAGAAGAGAAUUUUUAAAAGAAAACAUCUCAGGUGGAAGGUUAGACUAUGUUGAAAGGAUUAAAUAUAAUUAUAGAGAAGUUAGAUGACAGAAGCUAACUGUAUUAAGCAGUGAAUUAAAAAUGAUGAAAUAGGAGUUCCCAUUGUGACUCAGUGGGUUAAGAAACUGGUUAGUAUCCAUGAGGAUGUGGGUUUGAUCUGGUGUGGCUGUGACGGGAUCAUAAGUGGGCAGCUGCAGCUCUGAUUUGACCCCUAGCCAGGAACUUCCAUAUGCCUCAGGUGUGGUCCUAAAAAGAAAAAAAAAAUAGAGAACAGUAAUUUAAGAUCAUUCUUUUCAGCCCCUCAAAGUGUAAGGGGAAGGAGACUUCCCAAGACCCCUAGCUGUCUCCUUAAUAUCAACUCUGUCCUUCUCAUUGAGUAAGAGAACUCAUAUUAUUGGUCAUGGUAAUUUGGCCAGUUUAAAAUUACAUCCCUAAGACCCCUUGCAAUUGGGGAUGUAUGAUCUCACGUCAUUGGGUGGGGCUUCCGGGAAGCUCUUAAAAGGGCUGCCUCCACUGCGAGCCAUGUCUUUUUCCCUUCUCCCUCUGUAUUUCUCCCUUCUUGUAAUGGGGACGAGAUGUCUGAAGCAGAGCAACCAGUAUGGGACCUUGAAAAAAAUGUCAAGAGACUCUCAGCUUGAGACUGACUGGAGACACUUAGCACAAUGUCACUACAUUGAUGACAGGUAAGAGAAGACGUCAAUCAGAAGACUCAUUGGCAUCAUGAGGCAAAUGUCUUGAAACCUUUGAAGCACAGGUGAUGUGUCCUGGAGGACUGCCUGACAUGUGGUAUGAGGCCUGCAGACAAGGUGGGACAACUGCCCUGGGUUCCCGCUCUAGGGGCCUUUCCAGGUAAAAGAAAUCUGCUACUUCCAUCACUGUUCUUGGAGUCUAUAAGCCAGAGAGGGAACUUGCAAUCAACAACUGUUGAAAUAAGGAAGAGUGAGAGAUGACCCACACAGACAGCUCAUGCCCAAGGUCAUGGUGGACUUUUGGUAGCUCUGAGACUUGAACUUGUCCAGUGUGUGAGACUCACUCAAUAUGGGCAUAUUAGCACCAUUCUGGCAACAGAGUUUCUUGUGAUACCAUGAAAGGAAUCCCAUGCUGGCUAGUGAGAAUGGUCCUAUGGCUAUAUCACUUCCUGAAAUUGGACCAAGGGGCCCUUGCAUGAUGCCAUAGUCAGUCUUAGACAUUGUGGUCAUGCUGAUAGUGGGCGUUGUACAACACCUCGAAGGAGAAAAAUGGGGAC
Molecule: long non-coding RNA, 1321 nt
Filed under: Sus scrofa (pig)
Lineage: Eukaryota; Metazoa; Chordata; Mammalia; Artiodactyla; Suidae
Description: lncRNA (ENSSSCG00030041552.1)
Source: RNAcentral